GACGAACGCUGGCGGCGUGCCUAAUACAUGCAAGUAGAACGCACAGUUUAUACCGUAGCUUGCUACACCAUAGACUGUGAGUUGCGAACGGGUGAGUAACGCGUAGGUAACCUGCCUGGUAGCGGGGGAUAACUAUUGGAAACGAUAGCUAAUACCGCAUAAUAUUGAUUAUUGCAUGAUAAUUGAUUGAAAGAUGCUAUUGCAUCACUACCAGAUGGACCUGCGUUGUAUUAGCUAGUAGGUGAGGUAACGGCUCACCUAGGCGACGAUACAUAGCCGACCUGAGAGGGUGGUCAGCCACCCUGGGACUGAGACCCGGCACAGACGCCUACGGGAGGCAGCAGUAGGGAAUCUUCGGCAAUGGACGAAAGUCUGACCGAGCAACGCCGCCUGAGUGAAGAAGGUUUUCGGAUCGUAAAGCUCUGUUGUAAGAGAAGAACGGGUGUGAGAGUGGAAAGUUCACACUGUGACGGUAUCUGACCAGAAAGGGACGGCUAACUACGUG
RNAcentral lists this ribosomal RNA (505 nucleotides) under uncultured bacterium. RNAcentral's name for it is "partial 16S ribosomal RNA". It matches the Rfam family "Bacterial small subunit ribosomal RNA", at positions 28 to 507 of the family's 1533-position model. The record is from RNAcentral.